CUUAUCUUGAUUUUAAAAUUGCCAGUGAUGCAGAAUCCACCAUGAUCCUUGAAACAGUUCCAGAAACAGGCAUCCCUCUGGAUAAAGACACUGAUGGAGACAAUUCAUGUAAACUGUCAUAGAUCCUCUGACUGCAAUAGAGAAGCCGAGGAUCUGGCCCAAGGACAAAAAGGAAAGUUCACCAACUGCAGCCUGAGCGAUCUCACUGUGCCGUUUCCCCAAGCAACAUCGAGCUAGGUAGUAUGUACCAGCAUUUUAUUCUACAAGCAUCAGUUUAAGCAGCAGUAUUUCUAGGAGGACCAAGACAUUAUAUCCAUAUUUUUUUUCAUUUCA
This is a long non-coding RNA of Mauremys reevesii (Reeves's turtle), 333 nucleotides long. RefSeq lists it as uncharacterized. The transcript is spliced from 3 exons. NCBI's taxonomy places the organism in Eukaryota, Metazoa, Chordata, Testudines, Geoemydidae. The record is from RefSeq and is a predicted model, not a curated record.